Molecule: long non-coding RNA, 1008 nt
Organism: Aegilops tauschii subsp. strangulata
Lineage: Eukaryota; Viridiplantae; Streptophyta; Magnoliopsida; Poales; Poaceae
Source: RefSeq, a predicted model, not a curated record
CCUGCGCAAGUCGAUCCUACCCCUGUCUCAUUUCCUCUCGUCUUCCUCCCGAUCCCCUUCUCUCGGCUGGAUUCCCCUCCGUCCAUCCCCGGCGGCGCGCCCGCUGCUCCUACUCCUGCCAGGCGCCGGGACACGCGCGAAGGGGACUCCCCUUCUCCCUCCCCCCUGCUGCCCUCAGAUCAGCGCCGCCGCGGAAGCUAUGGCCGCCGCCGUCUUCCGGCCUCCUCCCCGGGAGGCGAGGAGGUGGAGGAGAAUACCGCACGGAAUACCAGCGAGGCGGCGAUAUCCUCUCCCUCUGCUCUCCUGCCAGGCUGCCACGGCUCAUCGCGGUUGCUGCUGUACCCAGGUCAUCUGCCGCCGCACGCACUCGCGGUUUGAUGACUGAUUGAGGGCCGAGGCAGCUCCAUCCUCUGGUUCUUCCUCGCGGUGCUCUGACGGCAAUCGGCCAAGAGCCCAAGACACGCACGUACAGCCUCACCGGAGAGAUGGCGAAGACGACGCCAUCAUCAAAACUGGGAGUAGCAGCAGGAGGCGCGACCCUUGCUACAAGGAGAACAGCAGCUGAAGACCAUCAGGAAGAAGAUUGCCAUGUGCCACGACAUAGCCGUGCUGAGCAGGCUAGGGAGACAGCGGAUGGAGCCAAGGGUAGCGCAGAGAAAGGACGAGAGGGGGUCGGGAACACUUUGUUUUCCCGCAUGAACGUAGAUGGAAAAGACACACCUAAUGGACGAAGGAAAUCAAAGGGUAUGGUUGCCGAGAGGAGGAAAGCAAGCGGAGUAUAUUUGCUUCUGUUGUGAACUUGUGAUAUCGUGCUCGGCAUAUACAACGGAAUAGAACAACACUUCGACCAACGUCUCUAUACGUAUCACUUUGUUGUUCCAUAUCAAUGGGCUACCGGUGGCUUACUAGUAAAUGGCCAAUGUAGCUUUUCAUUUGCCAGAUACUUGUAAACUAUUGAUCCAGUUAUGCAAUCUGUUAUCCAGCAAGAAAAAAGUGUUAGCCAAGUGA